RNAcentral lists this ribosomal RNA (464 nucleotides) under uncultured bacterium. RNAcentral's name for it is "bacterial SSU rRNA". It matches the Rfam family "Bacterial small subunit ribosomal RNA", at positions 338 to 795 of the family's 1533-position model. The record is from RNAcentral.
CCUACGGGUCGCACCAGCGGGGAAUAUUGCACAAUGGGCGCAAGCCUGAUGCAGCCAUGCCGCGUGUGUGAAGAAGGCCUUCGGGUUGUAAAGCACUUUCAGCGGGGAGGAAGGCGGUGAGGUUAAUAACCUCAUCGAUUGACGUUACCCGCAGAAGAAGCACCGGCUAACUCCGUGCCAGCAGCCGCGGUAAUACGGAGGGUGCAAGCGUUGAUCGGAAUUACUGGGCGUAAAGCGCACGCAGGCGGUCUGUCAAGUCGGAUGUGAAAUCCCCGGGCUCAACCUGGGAACUGCAUUCGAAACUGGCAGGCUAGAGUCUUGUAGAGGGGGGUAGAAUUCCAGGUGUAGCGGUGAAGUGCGUAGAGAUCUGGAGGAAUACCGUGGCGAAGGCGGCCCCCUGGACAAAGACUGACGCUCAGGUGCGAAAGCGUGGGGAGCAAACAGGAUUAGAUACCCCAGUAGUC